RNAcentral lists this long non-coding RNA (398 nucleotides) under Mus musculus (house mouse). RNAcentral's name for it is "long non-coding RNA chr4:8941258-8941656". The record is from RNAcentral. Lineage: Eukaryota; Metazoa; Chordata; Mammalia; Rodentia; Muridae.
GAGUUCACAACACCUACAUUGACAGGCUGCAGAAAAGAGCCUUUGUCAUCACUGCCAUUAAAGGUGUGGGGCAGAGAUAAGCUCAUGUCGUGUCGAGGAAGGCAGACAUUGACCUUACCAAGAGGGCACGGAUGAAGAGGUGGAAGCCGUGACCACCAUCAUGCAGAAUCAUGACUUGGACAGGUUCUUGGGCAGGCAGAAGGAUGUGAAGGAUGGAAUAGUACAGCCAGGUUAUGGCCAACGGUCUAGACAACAAGUUGCGCAAGGACCUAGAGCUGCCAAAGAAGAUGAGAACCCACAGUGGGCUGCACCACUUUUGAGGCCUUUGUGUCCGCAGUCAGCACAACAAGGCCACUGGCCACUGGGGCCAUACUGUGGGUAUAUCCAAGAAGAAAUGA